This 253-nucleotide unclassified non-coding RNA is filed under the name uncultured Myxococcales bacterium. RNAcentral describes it as "contains 16S-23S intergenic spacer region". It matches the Rfam family "Bacterial small subunit ribosomal RNA", at positions 524 to 776 of the family's 1533-position model. The record is from RNAcentral. Lineage: Bacteria; Pseudomonadati; Myxococcota; Myxococcia; Myxococcales.
GACAGAGGGUGCAAGCGUUGUUCGGAAUUAUUGGGCGUAAAGCGCACGUAGGCGGCUUGGCAAGUCGGAUGUGAAAGCCCAGGGCUCAACCUUGGAAGGGCAUCCGAAACUGCUUGGCUUGAGUCCCGGAGAGGGUGGUGGAAUUCCCAGUGUAGAGGUGAAAUUCGUAGAUAUUGGGAGGAACAUCGGUGGCGAAGGCGACCACCUGGACGGUGACUGACGCUGAGGUGCGAAAGCGUGGGGAGCAAACAGG